UCAAGAGUACGUGAAACCGUUCAGGGGUAAACGGGAGAAAUCCUGAAUUCGAAAGGGGAUUUGGAUUCAAUGCCUACCGUGUGGAACCGGGACGCCCUCUCCAGAUGGCGCCGGUCGCCCGCAGCGAUUCAGUUCGUUCGCGGUGUCGAUACCGGCGUUCACUCGUUGAGGUGUCGUUUACCCGGCACCGGAGGAGUGCACUUCCCCCCUAGUAGAAACGUCGCGACCCGUUGGGUGCCGGUCUAAGGCCCGGGGUGGCAGCCCGUGCGUCCUGUGAGGGCUCUCACAGGCGCGUGGACCCCUGGUGACCCGGCCGGCUGCCCGACGGUAUGACCAGAGGAGUCGAUCCGCUGAAUGGGAAACACUUUGGUUGUGUAGCGUCCGGCCCAUCUGCCGAUGCGUAAGCAGUUGUCACCCGUGUAGAGCAUGGGCUGCAACUGCGUCUUCGGAUUUGGUGUCCUCGGACCGGAUCAGCACUCCCGUCUGCGACGCCCACCUUCGGAUGGUCU
This 509-nucleotide ribosomal RNA is filed under the name Candovia coenosa. RNAcentral describes it as "partial large subunit ribosomal RNA". The record is from RNAcentral. Lineage: Eukaryota; Metazoa; Arthropoda; Insecta; Phasmatodea; Lonchodidae.